UACAAAAUUAUAAUCAGGUAUUGAAAGAAUGAAUUUGAUGAAUUAAUUCCUCCAGCAUUGUGUUUAGUAUAUUCUACCAUCUGUACAAGGAAACGCAAAUCAUUUGUAAUCCAUAAACUGCUAUUAUAGUUUCCUAUGUGUGAUUUAAUAUUGGGGAGAUGUUUGUUUGGAAAUGGCUGCAUGUGCAUUCGAGAUUGCAUAAAAAAACUUAUCGCGAAGCGUACGGAUUUCUUGAAGAAUUCAGUCAGAUGCUAUAUGAAGAAUAACGUCCACGAUCAUAAUCUCGAAAGAGGAUUUGUUUCCGAAUAAAAACUAGUGAUCUUACUGAUUAGUCACAUAUCGAUUAAAAAUUAGAUUUCGUGCUUUAAGAACCCUUUUUAAAAGGGUCCUUUCAUUGGGUGUAAUUUUGUUCAUCCAAAAAAAUUCUCGAUUUCGCUGCCGUACUGCCGUCUCGCCAAAUAUUGGAAUCAACAAUUGCUGUGAAAACCGAAGCCAUCACCAUCCCCAAGUUGACAUCUCCACCAACCCUUAAGUAAGAACUCAGUGAGUGCCGAUGCUGUUCUGAACAUCAGGAAAAUAAAUAAGUACCUGGAUUUU
This is a long non-coding RNA of Coccinella septempunctata (seven-spotted ladybird), 597 nucleotides long. RefSeq lists it as uncharacterized. Lineage: Eukaryota; Metazoa; Arthropoda; Insecta; Coleoptera; Coccinellidae. The record is from RefSeq and is a predicted model, not a curated record. The transcript is spliced from 2 exons.